UAGGGAACCCUCUAUGGUAUUUCAGAUGGUUGUUAGGGAACCCUCUAUGGUAUUUCAGACGGUUGUUAGGGAUCCCUCUAUGGUAUUUCAGACGGUUGUUAGGGAACCCUCUAUGGUAUUUCAGACGGUUGUUAGGGAACCCUCUAUGGUAUUUCAGAUGGUUGUUAGGGAACCCUCUAUGGUAUUUCAGAUGGUUGUUAGGGAACCCUCUAUGGUAUUUCAGAUGGUUGUUAGGGAACCCUCUAUGGUAUUUCAGAUGGUUGUUAGGGAACCCUCUAUGGUAUUUCAGAUGGUUGUUAGGGAACCCUCUAUGGUAUUUCAGAUGGUUGUUAGGGAACCCUCUAUGGUAUUUCAGAUGGUUGUUAGGGAACCCUCUAUGGCAUUUCAGAUGGUUGUUAGGGAACCCUCUAUGGCAUUUCAGAUGGUUGUUAGGGAACCCUCUAUGGCAUUUCAGAUGGUUGUUAGGGAACCCUCUAUGGUAUUUCAGAUGGUUGUUAGGGAACCCUCUAUGGCAUUUCAGAUGGUUGUUAGGGAACCCUCUAUGGUAUUUCAGACGGUUGUUAGGGAACCCUCUAUGGCAUUUCAGAUGGUUGUUAGGGAACCCUCUAUGGUAUUUCAGAUGGUUGUUAGGGAACCCUCUAUGGUAUU
Molecule: long non-coding RNA, 648 nt
Organism: Oncorhynchus keta (chum salmon)
Lineage: Eukaryota; Metazoa; Chordata; Actinopteri; Salmoniformes; Salmonidae
Exons: 3
Source: RefSeq, a predicted model, not a curated record